Molecule: non-coding RNA, 29 nt
Filed under: Rattus norvegicus (Norway rat)
Lineage: Eukaryota; Metazoa; Chordata; Mammalia; Rodentia; Muridae
Source: RNAcentral
UGACAGCCAUCUUAAGUCAUUACACAGUC